RNAcentral lists this ribosomal RNA (253 nucleotides) under uncultured bacterium. RNAcentral's name for it is "partial 16S ribosomal RNA". It matches the Rfam family "Bacterial small subunit ribosomal RNA", at positions 524 to 776 of the family's 1533-position model. The record is from RNAcentral.
UACGUAGGUGGCAAGCGUUGUCCGGAUUUAUUGGGUUUAAAGGGUGCGUAGGCGGCAUUUUAAGUCAGUGGUGAAAUACUUCAGCUCAACUGGAGAGGUGCCAUUGAUACUGGGAUGCUUGAGUACUGAUGAGGUAGGCGGAAUGGACGGUGUAGCGGUGGAAUGCUUAGAUAUCGUCCAGAACACCGAUAGCGAAGGCAGCUUACUAAGGAGUAACUGACGCUGAGGCACGAAAGUGUGGGGAUCAAACAGG